This 497-nucleotide ribosomal RNA is filed under the name uncultured bacterium. Its description in RNAcentral is "partial 16S ribosomal RNA". It matches the Rfam family "Bacterial small subunit ribosomal RNA", at positions 28 to 507 of the family's 1533-position model. The record is from RNAcentral.
GAUGAACGCUGGCGGCGUGCCUAAUACAUGCCAGUCGAGCGAACGGACGAGAAGCUUGCUUCUCUGAUGUUAGCGGCGGACGGGUGAGUAACACGUGGAUAACCUACCUAUAAGACUGGGAUAACUUCGGGAAACCGGAGCUAAUACCGGAUAAUAUUUUGAACCGCAUGGUUCAAAAGUGAAAGACGGUCUUGCUGUCACUUAUAGAUGGAUCCGCGCUGCAUUAGCUAGUUGGUAAGGUAACGGCUUACCAAGGCAACGAUGCAUAGCCGACCUGAGAGGGUGAUCGGCCACACGGGAACGUGGACACGGUCCAGACUCCUACGGGAGGCAGCAGUAGGGAAUCUUCCGCAAUGGGCGAAAGCCUGACGGAGCAACGCCGCGUGAGUGAUGAAGGUCUUCGGAUCGUAAAACUCUGUUAUUAGGGAAGAACAUAUGUGUAAGUAACUGUGCACAUCUUGACGGUACCUAAUCAGAAAGCCACGGCUAACUACGUG